UUCCUUGAUUAUUCUCCACUAGGGUCAACCAUAUUGUACUUGUAGCACAGGCUCCACGCCAAGACUUUAAGGUAUAGACUUUACAGAAUCAUUUAUUUAAACCAUAUUGCCUGCAAUUGACAACAGUCACAUGACAUGCCCUUAGAAUUACAUAAUUGAACAGGAGGCAAAAUAAGGUUUAUGUGUAUCAAUAGAAACCUAUUGAUACAAGAAAACUAGCUAAAGUGUUCAUGCCUAUAAAAGAAUUAGCUAACUACUCUGAGAAAUGAGACUACCACCCCACCAACAAACAAACAAACAAAAGCCAUGUUGGUAAGAUAAUAAUUCAAUGACAGUACUUUGACUGAUAGAAGUUCUUUUGUGAGGUUGGUCCCAUUCUGCUGUAUCAACCUGGCAAGAACUCUAAGGCCUAGAAUUCUCCUCAGGUUGGAAUGAGAAUUUCCACUGUCGGUUCGUAUGUUUGAAUAUUUGGCCCCCAGGUAGAGGAACUGUUUGGAGGGAUUAUCAGGGCGAAGCCUCACGAUUCUCAUAUUUGACAAUGUUUGUGAAUCAGACAUGCCACAGUCAUUGCAGAAGAGAUAAUCAGAAAAAAACGCAGACCUAAAAGACAGAGAGACACACAGGUGGAUGGAUGGAUGGACAGAUGAAGAAAAGGAAGGAAUGAAGGAAAGAAAGAA
Long non-coding RNA from Mastomys coucha (southern multimammate mouse), 677 nucleotides. RefSeq lists it as uncharacterized. The transcript is spliced from 3 exons. The record is from RefSeq and is a predicted model, not a curated record. Lineage: Eukaryota; Metazoa; Chordata; Mammalia; Rodentia; Muridae.